RNAcentral lists this ribosomal RNA (253 nucleotides) under uncultured bacterium. RNAcentral's name for it is "partial 16S ribosomal RNA". It matches the Rfam family "Bacterial small subunit ribosomal RNA", at positions 524 to 776 of the family's 1533-position model. The record is from RNAcentral.
UACGUAGGGGGCAAGCGUUGUCCGGAAUUAUUGGGCGUAAAGAGCGCGUAGGCGGUCCGAUAAGUCGGCUGUGAAAGUCAGGGGCUCAACCCUUGGAAGCCGGCCGAUACUGUCGGACUAGAGUCCGGAAGAGGCGAGUGGAAUUCCCGGUGUAGCGGUGGAAUGCGCAGAUAUCAGGAGGAACACCAAUAGCGAAGGCAGCUCGCUGGGACGGUAUUGACGCUAAGGCGCGAAAGCGUGGGGAGCAAACAGG